Molecule: long non-coding RNA, 842 nt
Organism: Raphanus sativus (radish)
Lineage: Eukaryota; Viridiplantae; Streptophyta; Magnoliopsida; Brassicales; Brassicaceae
Exons: 2
Source: RefSeq, a predicted model, not a curated record
CUUUGUCUCUCUUUUAAACGUAUCUUAUCCCAUAAUGUUUCCUAGUGACAACUUGACCGAGUUUACUAUAGCAUGGUGACCACUUAAACCCAAAACCAACUAGUGACAACUCAGUCGACUACAGCUUCAGCACUCUCUUUCUUAUCUCGACCACCUUCUUCUUCUUCUUUUAGGUUUAAUUAAGUCUCUACCGUAUGUUUUAAUUCUCUCUUAUCUCUACCUCUCUAUACUAUAAAUAAACGUAUCAUUGCGAGUCAUAUAUAGUGAUUAUAUCAGUACAAGAGAGACUUGUGAGUUAUUAAAGAUGUCGUCGUCUAUAGUUUCUUUGAUGCUAUCUCUUCUUCUCCUGGUGGUGUUGCUUAAUAUGGAUCACGCAUUUGGUGCUCAGACUGAGAUCCGUAAACUUAAAGAUACAAGGAUGAAAUUGGAAGGAGAUGACAACAGAAGCUCCAAAGUGGAGAUGGAACCGAGCAGAUCAAUACGUUGCGGGGGCGGGAAAACUUUUUAAAAACAUGGCGACCAGUUAUCGUACUGAUCAUGGUCAUCUUCCAGGAGGAUACUUGUCUUCUCUCUGUCAGCCAUGCAGCUCGGGAAAAUGUAUUGUUUAUAGGUGUAUUACCACCAAAGUCUGCCAAUACAUCAACGGCUCACCAACGACGUGCACAAGCUCCGAGGACUGUCAACCCGUAUCUAGCAACUGAUCGGAUUAUAAAACUUUGUUAUACAUAUAUCGUGUUUUUUUUUUUUGCUUUUUCUAUGGUUAUUCGUUUCACAUGUAUGUUUGUGUGUUGCCACAUAUAUUCUCAUAUUUUUAUCGGAUGCAAAAUCUUUACAUUAGAAAA